AUUGAACGCUGGCGGCAGGCCUAACACUGCAAGUCGAGCGCGAAAGUUCUUCGGAAUGAGUAAAGCGGCGGACGGGUGAGUAAUACAUGGGAAUCUGCCUGGUAGUGGGGGACAACGUUUCGAAAGGAACGCUAAUACCGCAUACGCCCUACGGGGAAAGGGGGGAGUCUUCGGACCUCUCGCUAUCAGAUGAGCCCAUG
This 200-nucleotide ribosomal RNA is filed under the name uncultured bacterium. Its description in RNAcentral is "partial 16S ribosomal RNA". It matches the Rfam family "Bacterial small subunit ribosomal RNA", at positions 30 to 235 of the family's 1533-position model. The record is from RNAcentral.